This 434-nucleotide ribosomal RNA is filed under the name uncultured bacterium. Its description in RNAcentral is "partial 16S ribosomal RNA". It matches the Rfam family "Bacterial small subunit ribosomal RNA", at positions 29 to 507 of the family's 1533-position model. The record is from RNAcentral.
AGCGGACGCUGGCGGCAGGCCUAACACAUGCAAGUCGAACGAACCUUUCGGGGUUAGUGGCGGACGGGUGAGUAACACGUGGGAACGUGCCUUUAGGUUCGGAAUAACUCAGGGAAACUUGUGCUAAUACCGAAUGUGCCCUUCGGGGGAAAGAUUAAUCGCCUUUAGAGCGGCCCGCGUCUGAUUAGCUAGUUGGUUGAGGUAAUGGCUCACCAAGGCGACGAUCAGUAGCUGGUCUGAGAGGAUGAUCAGCCACAUUGGGACUGAGACACGGCCCAAACUCCUACGGGAAGCAGCAGUGGGGAAUCUUGCGCAAUGGGCGAAAGCCUGACGCAGCCAUGCCGCGUGAAUGAUGAAGGUCUUAGGAUUGUAAAAUUCUUUCACCGGGGACGAUAAUGACGGUACCCGGAGAAGAAGCCCCGGCUAACUUCGUG